RNAcentral lists this ribosomal RNA (443 nucleotides) under uncultured bacterium. RNAcentral's name for it is "partial 16S ribosomal RNA". It matches the Rfam family "Bacterial small subunit ribosomal RNA", at positions 338 to 795 of the family's 1533-position model. The record is from RNAcentral.
CCUACGGGGUGCAGCAGUGGGGAAUAUUGGGCAAUGGGCGCAAGCCUGAACCAGCAACGCCGCGUGAAGGAAGAAGGCUUUCGGGUUGUAAACUUCUUUUCUGAGGGACGAAGAAAGUGACGGUACCUCCGGAAUAAGCCACGGCUAACUACGUGCCAGCAGCCGCGGUAAUACGUAGGUGGCAAGCGUUAUCCGGAUUUAUUGGGUGUAAAGGGCGUGUAGGCGGGAAAGCAAGUCAGAUGUGAAAACUCAGGGCUCAACCCUGAGCCUGCAUUUGAAACUGUUUUUCUUGAGUGCUGGAGAGGCAAUCGGAAUUCCGUGUGUAGCGGUGAAAUGCGUAGAUAUACGGAGGAACACCAGUGGCGAAGGCGGAUUGCUGGACAGUAACUGACGCUGAGGCGCGAAAGCGUGGGGAGCAAACAGGAUUAGAUACCCGAGUAGUG